CAGCCGCCACGGUAAUACGUAGGGUGCAAGCGUUAAACGGAAUUACUGGGCGUAAAGCGUGCGCAGGCGGUUUGUUAAGACAGAUGUGAAAUCCCCGGGCUCAACCUGGGAACUGCAUUUGUGACUGGCAAGCUAGAGUGUGGCAGAGGGGGGUGGAAUUCCGCGUGUAGCAGUGAAAUGCGUAGAUAUGCGGAGGAACACCGAUGGCGAAGGCAGCCCCCUGGGCCAACACUGACGCUCAUGCACGAAAGCGUGGGGAGCAAACAGGAUUAGAUACCCGCGUAGUCCCUGUCUCUUAUAC
RNAcentral lists this ribosomal RNA (301 nucleotides) under uncultured bacterium. Its description in RNAcentral is "partial 16S ribosomal RNA". It matches the Rfam family "Bacterial small subunit ribosomal RNA", at positions 509 to 807 of the family's 1533-position model. The record is from RNAcentral.